This is a non-coding RNA of Parelaphostrongylus tenuis, 73 nucleotides long. NCBI's taxonomy places the organism in Eukaryota, Metazoa, Nematoda, Chromadorea, Rhabditida, Metastrongylidae. The record is from the annotation of a GenBank genome assembly.
GCCACGGUGGUGCAGUGGCAGAGCACGCGUCUUCGGAAAGCAUGAAACGCGGGUUCGAUUCCCGCCUGAGGCU